CUUGGGGCUGUAGCGCCGCCCCGCGCCGCCCCGCGUCGCCCCGCGCUCCGAAAGCGUUAGGCAAAGGUGGAGCUCCCUCUUUUUGAGGGGGCCCCCGAACGCCGGGGCCUGAAUGAACAUGGGCGCGCAGUCGCAGCUUCCUGAUAGUUGCGAGCGUCUGAACUUGCACUUGGGUGCCCGCAGCGCGUGCUCACCCGCGGCUCGGCUCUGCUGCAGCCCCCCCUUCUUCUGCUAGGCCUUUCCUAGCACUUCCGCGUCCUGGGCUCCUUUCCGUCUUAACUUUUCUUCUGUCCAGGGCCCUGCAACAACAGGUAUUUUGUGGUCCACUUGCAGGAACGUCAAGAGUUUAUUGUCUAAUAUCAAGUGCUGUGUUAAUCAGAAACACAGCCAUAAACAAGUCCUCAGCUUUCUCUUGCUGAUGUGAAUUAACCUCAAUUUUCCAUAAAAGGCAGUGGCUGAUGCUUGUUUCACUUAGAAAAAAAUGAAUUUCUCAAAGUGCUUUCUGGUUUGCAAAGUGCUUUUAUAUCCAUUAGGAUAAUUCUUUCAUUGCACACAGCACCAGAAAUUAAUUCAUUAAUGAAUUCAUAAAACAGUUCUGUGUGGUGGGUACCAUUUUUUUAAUUCAUAUUUUACAGAUGAGGAAGCAUUCUCCCAUUUUAUAGAUCAGAAACCGAUGUUUAGACAGUUAAGUGAUUUGCCAAAGGCCAUAGACCGAGUAAGUGGUUGAGCCGUAGUUUGAUUUCAAGUGGUCUGGGAGCUGUUACUAUUAACUGCUAUUCUGUUAUCCUGUAAAAAAGGAAGGAAGGAAGAAAGAGUCCUAGUGACACCUAUUUGUUUUGUAGUGUUAAAAAGAAUAUUAUAUUCCAAGGGGACAAUGUUAGUAUUUUUUUUCAGUCACAUUUUAAUAUAUGCAAAAUUAAGUAUUUCAACACCCAAAAGAUAUAAGCCAUUAGGGUUAAUAUUGUCAGCCAAUAAGCCAGUAUUCUGAAUAUAUUUUAUAUAAUAUUUUAUAAAUAAAUACAUGUUUAUAUAAAUAUAUAAAUGUUUAUAUAUAUUUGGUAGUACACAGCAGUUCCUUAUUAUAAUGUGUUAGGAUGUGCUAAGAAGCAGAUGCUAAAAUGGGAGUUGCUGUGCAGGAGAUUUUUGGGGAGAGGGAGCAGGAAAAGGCGGGGAGAGCCUUUAGGUUGUCAUAGAGGGCUGACACCCUUGGAAGGAGAGAUGGAAAGAAAGAGGGGAGGGUAGAAAGAGUCUCAAUAGAAGGGGGGGCGGUGCACAUCCCAGUAUCCACUAUCUGCCCUGAAGAAACUCACAGCCUCUACUGUGAAUUGUGGGAAAGGCAUUUAUUUAAAAAAAAUAUAUACAGACCUGUGCAAAGAUGCUAAGAAACCCUGAGGGGAGACUCUCAGUGGGCUAGUUGAGCGGGUGUGUGUUUAUGUGUAAGUGUGUGCAUGAUGAGGCAAGAGAGGGUUUCAGGAAAGUCUUCCUGAGGGGGAGGUGACACCUGUCUUAGACAAUUGAGUAGGCCUUAGGAGGGAGAGACAAUAAAAUCUCACUGCUGGCCUAAAGUCCUCUGACACUUUUCUGAUGAGUGGCAAGGGCUCUGUGACAUUUCAUCUCUUGUUAUCCAGUAUUAUUUAAUCACCUUUAUUAACUUUUCGUGCUUUUGUUUCCUGCCCCCUAACACCACUGUGAUGGUGCUCCAAGCAGGCACCGGGUCCUAUUUCUUUGUUUUUCCCACAGUGCAGAGAGCACAGUGUCUGUCCACCUGCAGACCAGGAGUGUGGGGUUUGGAGGCAUUGACUCCCUUCAACUCUCCUUUGUUUUUUUAAAAAAUAUUGGGGUUCCACAUCAUAUUUUGUUCACUACAACUCAGGUUUGAAACUCGGUGAUGUAGAGGAAAGAGCUUGGGGGAUAUAGAGCCCUGUAAUUGAUCAGAUUGGCCACGUGUUCCAUCCUUGGAGCAGGAUGCGGAGCCAGGCUCCUGGACUGAGCAUUUGAGGUGAAGAUGGAGCAAUUAGGAGAAAUACAUUUUGGCUGUUUUAUGAAAAUUUAUUAUAUGUACCUUUUGAAUGAAAGGAAACUCCCUGGAAGGAAUUCAUUGAGGUAAGUGCAGUUCAAAAUUUUUUACCCAAGGCUGGUUUGAUUCUGGAUAAUAUCUGAAUUUAGGUGCUAAUAGUUCAGGUUCAGGAAGGCUUAGGCCCCCUCUGUCAGCUGGUAGCAGGGACAGGAGCCCAGAUGGCCUCUGGAGGGGGACUUGGGGAGGUUUUGCUGGUCCUGUCCCUCCUUAUUCUUUCUAUCCAAGCCGUCAGGGCAUCAUUAUCCUGGUCCAGCACUCUCAGAUUCCAGCUUUCAGUGGUAUUUCCACUGUCCUCAUUGGUCAAGUUCUUCUGGGUCUACUGGAAAGCUCCCAUAAGUUAUUCCAAAGUGUUACUCUUUAUUUCUGUGCCCCAUUUCUCAGGUUAGGUACCUUAGUUAUAGCUAAAUUAUGUUAGCUCUGAAAGUAAUACAUACAGUCUAUAUUUGGUCAUGCAUGUAAAGGUGACCAAAGUAGGUAAAAAAAGCAAAACACAGAACCGUAUUCAAUUCUUCCAUCUGUAUUAAAAGAAGUAAAGGUGUUUGUAGGGAUAUACCUGUAUAUGCAAAUAAGUUAUCUAGAAGGUUAACAGUGAUGUUCAGAAUACUUAACAACUGGUUCAGCACUGGCAGACAGGGAUGGCUGCUGGCCUUCGAGCUGGAGGGAUGCUGGAGACCCCCUAGUAUCUAAGCUUUAACUCUUUAAUGAUUGAUUGAAAUUCUGGGCGGCCAGCACUCCACGGGCUCAAAACAGUGGCUAUUUACCAACCUGAAGGGAAAUAUUUAAAUAUUUUAACCACCUGUGGAUUAUACUAGUGUAUGCCAGCAGCUAUCAACUGUUUCUCCUAGGAAAGGGGAUUGAGGGAGGGAGGGACUUAAUUUUCAACAUGCCUUUUAGUACUGUUUGGAAUUUUUGUUUGUUUCUUCUUUCAAUUGAACCAUGUACUUGGGGAUAGAAUUUCAUUUUGUUCAGCUCAGAAGGUAAGUCUUUUCUUAGAAUUUGGUUCUGGACAUUUCUGUCUAGUCAUCUGACUCCAGUCUGUCUACAGCCUCGGGGCCAUCUUCAUUAGUUCCAUCGUGCGGGGAAACUCCUCCACCCAGAGCUUUGCAUAAGCCCCUCUGCUUGCCUGGCGGAACUCCCACCCCCAUCCCCAAAGUUGGUGUCUGAAUCUCCUUUUGUUACUUUUCUUGGACCUGCUAUCUCUCCACCUACCAGACCUCAGUCCCAUUACUAACUAGCGUAGGUAUCACUCUGCUUAAUCUUGUGACCAGGAAAUAAGCCCUUUUUUGUGUUCAUACAACUUGUGUGUGUGUAGAACCUGUGUUUAAUGAAGUUUUACCUAUGCAUCAGCACUGCUGGUAAUGAUUAUUAUCUUAGUGGUGAUAACUCGCAUUGCAUUGGCUGUGCCUCCACCUGCCUGUGGAGUGGACACCCCUCCCUCCAGGUCUCCCCCAGUGUUCCUGGGAGGCACGUGGUACCUCUGUUGUGCUCCCUCCCAUUGUUCCCUGGGAGACUUGCAGCUCCUUGUUGGUGUCCCCUGCCAUGAAGCCAUUGGGGGGCAGUGUCUCAUCUCAGCCACUGUCACAGCCACUGUCAGCCAAAGUUGCUCUCUCCUGGGGCCUAAAGACAUGGAGAGAAGCCCCUCCUCUUCCAUUUUACCACCGUUUUUCACCCAGGUCCCAAAGCGGCAUGACUUGUACCCAGUGUCUCACUGAGCCCCUUCCAUCUCUACCGGUAGGCUCUCCAUCCACAGGCUCAGACAUGAGUCUGCGGAGCUUAGGCAGGGAACCAAAGUUGGAGAGAAGAUUUUUUUUCUUUCCCAUGCCCCUUUCCGCACCCCAGGACUAUUCCUUCCUAUCCUUUCUCCACCCCCAAGGCGUCAUAAAAGCAUCUUUAAGCCAACCCUUCCCUUCAGUCUAAUCAGCUCCUAACCAGGUCCACUGCUCCCUUAGAUUUAUCAGAGUUGACUCUUAGUGGUGGGCACCGCUGGGCUCAAGCUGACAGCCUGACCACACACAUUCUAUUCACACUUAUCUCCCUGUGUGGUAGUUAACGGUUGGCCCCGUCAGACUGUGGGUUCCUCAAGUAUGAGUUUCUAACUGUGUGGUAGUCACCUUUGUCUCCCCGGCACCCAGGCCCUGCCUGUUUACACGGCAGACCUUGAAAAAUACUUUUGAAAGAAAAAUUGAACACGGUCAUUUAGCACAGAUACCCAAAAGAAAACAGCUCAUUCUUUACCAAAGGGAGACUCAGGCAACCCACCCAAACGGAGGAAAGCUAUUCUUAAAGGGUGUCCUCUAUCCUACAAAAGUAGCCCUUCAAAGCUCUUUAGGCUCCUUGCGUUCUCAGGUGGAGAAGAGCCAGGGUUAGAGCAGCACUUUCAGAGAGGCUUAAACUGAUGUUUUGUUUCCGUUUUAUUUUUUGCCUGCGCCCCGCAGCAUGUGGGCUCUUAAUUCCUCUACUGGACCACUAGGGAAGUCCUAAACUGAUCUUGUUUUAAGAGAAUAACAUGUUGAACAACUAUUUGACUAGUUACAUUUUAUCGUGUACUUGCCAAUCGAAAAAACAAAGACAAAAACAGAAAAGGGCACAGUAUGGCAAAACAUACUGAUCAGAAGGGGAAAAGCAGAUGAUACACAGGGACAGAACAUUUUAUUUGUAUCAUUCCUAGUUCAGAGAAAUAAGGUUAACUCAAUGCUCCUUCCCCUACAUGUUUAUAGCGGGAGGUGAAAGUGACAGACUGAGGCAUGGAUUUGUUAAUGCUGGGUAUCAGGUGUUUCUUCGCUUAUUAUUUAGUUGAAUAAGUCUGAUGUCAUGUGAUAGACCACUAAGCAUAAGCGAUUCUUCAACCAAGAAAGAGAAAGAAAUUGUAUAACUAUAUGAUUUGUUCUCUGAGAAGCAAAACCAUGAUUCACGGCAAAGGCAGACACUCCUCAACUGGUGUGUGAGACAAACAGAGGUAUUCAUUAUGUUUAUUAUGAUAAUAAUCAUUCUUAACACUUCCUUCAAGGUGUAGCAUUUGCAGAAAUUGGAAAAAAUAAGAAUAUUCCAGCAGGCUUACUGACACUCAGUGGUAAUAUCACAAAUAAUUACAGUCAUUGAAAUAAUUUCAGAGAUGAGAAUGAGAGUUUAGUUUGAGAGAGAGAAAAAGAGAGAGAGAGAGAGAGAGAGAGAUUUAUUUAACAAUCUGUUAACGAUCCCGCAGCUCGUAAGAAGUCUCUCUAAUUCCAAAGCAUGACCUCUUUCCUCUACACGGCAAUGCCUGCCCAAUGGGAGAAUGCUAUCAUGUAAAAUCUUCAGAUGAAAACCAUCACGUGAUCUUAAAAAUGGUAUUGUUUGGUGACAUGUUUUGGUUUCCCUGUUCUAUAUACAUAGAAAAACUUAGGUAGAGAGAAACAAAAUGACUUGCUAGGUGAUGAGGCAGGUUGGACUGAAGGAUAGUGGCUGGAAUGACCACGGUGCCAAGUGUUCUGUUCUCCAGCACCUUCUCUGUUUUCUACUCCACGUUCUAGAUAACUCAGAUGCUGGCUUAAAACCCAUUAGAAGAUCAACCAGUCUCCCAACCCACCCACCAACCAGUAAACCAGCCAGCAUUUGUCAAAGGCUCACUUUGUUGUUCUUGAAACAGUGUUUGUUUGGUGCUGUGGGAAAUGCUGAAGCAAGACCAGACAGGGUCCCUGCCACCCUGGUGCUUGUAAUCUACAUGGAGAGACAAGACGAAGCUACAUGACACAAUUACAGAAUCUGACAGAAUAUAAUAAAGUGCUAAAUUGUGUGGUGUAGGCAAUUAGAGAACAA
Aethalodelphis obliquidens (Pacific white-sided dolphin) is the source of this 5872-nucleotide long non-coding RNA. RefSeq lists it as uncharacterized. The record is from RefSeq and is a predicted model, not a curated record. Lineage: Eukaryota; Metazoa; Chordata; Mammalia; Artiodactyla; Delphinidae. The transcript has 3 exons.